Long non-coding RNA from Hibiscus syriacus, 606 nucleotides. RefSeq lists it as uncharacterized. The transcript is spliced from 3 exons. The record is from RefSeq and is a predicted model, not a curated record. Lineage: Eukaryota; Viridiplantae; Streptophyta; Magnoliopsida; Malvales; Malvaceae.
GCAAAGGUUAUACCUUUAAUCCUGUGAAACCAUUUCCCCCCUUUUCAUCUGUUUCUUUACCUAUUUCCGCCGUUAAGGUUCAACACCAUUCUCUCUUCAACUCACAUCGUGAGUCUCUUUUUUUUCUUUCACCACCGACCCCUAAAAUCAGUUUUCAUUACGCGUGAUUUUUCCUUCCUUCUGAUCGACACCAACAUCAGUUUUCUUCUAUCGGCGACAGUAACAAAGAUAUAAUGUCUAGGAAAAAAUUAAGUGAUUUGCGGAUUGUUCGAACUCCUCAAGAGAAGGAAGAAACAAAUAAUGAAGAGUCGAUUGGUGUUGCAUCUAACAAAGUUCUGAAUACAAUUGAAGAAACUGUACAAUUGAAGCUGAAAAUGGUCAAAGGCGCAAGAGUAGAGGUCGUACGAUAAUGAAGAAAUUGUACCAACUUCCUCUUGGGGACCACGUGAGAGUUUCAACUAACGAUGUCGGUCAACCUAUUGGGAUAAAAGAUGUGUUCUAUCAGGUUACCUAGGCAUUAUUGUACGCAAUGCAAGUCUUAUACCAAUCAAUUAUGAGUCAUGGCUUGAGAUGCUGAAUAGUAGCAAAAACCAAGCUGUUGAUUGC